This 1243-nucleotide ribosomal RNA is filed under the name metagenome. RNAcentral describes it as "bacterial LSU rRNA". It matches the Rfam family "Bacterial large subunit ribosomal RNA", at positions 1564 to 2817 of the family's 2925-position model. The record is from RNAcentral.
UGAAUACGAGACGCUAAGGCGUCGAAGUAGUGUAUGUCAUACUUCCAAGAAAAGCUUGCACUGUCAUAGAUAAAAAACGCCUGUACCAUAACCGACACAGGUGGGUAGGUAGAGUAUACUAAGGGGCGCGAGAUAACUCUCUCUAAGGAACUCGGCAAAAUAACUCCGUAACUUCGGGAGAAGGAGUGCCUUAUUCGUAAGGUUGCAAUAACAAGAUCCAAGCAACUGUUUAUCAAAAACACAGGUCUCCGCUAAGUCGUAAGACGAUGUAUGGGGGCUGACGCCUGCCCAGUGCCAGAAGGUUAAAGAAGUUGGUUAGCAAUUGCGAAGCUGAUAACUGAAGCCCUGGUGAACGGCGGCCGUAACAAUAACGGUCCUAAGGUAGCGAAAUUCCUUGUCGGGUAAGUUCCGACCCGCACGAAAGGCGUAAUGAUUUGGAUACUGUCUCGGAGAGGGGCUCGGUGAAAUAGACUUGUCUGUGAAGAUGCGGACUACCUGCACCAGGACAGAAAGACCCUAUGAAGCUUUACUGUAACUUGAAAUUGAAAUUGGACUUUAUUCGCGCAGUAUAGGUGGGAGGCGUUGAUUAUAAUCUUGUGGGAUUAUUGGAGCCAUCAGUGAGAUACCACUCUUGUAAUGUUAGAUUUCUAACUUUGAAUCAUUAUCUGGUCAAAGAACAGUUUCAGGCGGGCAGUUUGACUGGGGCGGUCGCCUCCUAAACGGUAACGGAGGCGUACAAAGGUUUCCUCUGAACGGUUAGAAAUCGUAUCUAGAGUGUAAAGGCAUAAGGAAGCUUGACUGUGAGACCUACAAGUCGAGCAGGGACGAAAGUCGGUCUUAGUGAUCUGACGGUACUGAGUGGAAAGGCCGUCACUCAACGGAUAAAAGUUACUCUAGGAUAACAGGCUGAUCUCCCCCAAGAGUUCACAUCGACGGGGAGGUUUGGCACCUCGAUGUCGGCUCAUCGCAUCCUGGGGCGGUAGUACGUCCCAAGGGUUGGGCUGUUCGCCCAUGAAAGCGGUACGCGAGCUGGGUUCAGAACGUCGUGAGACAGUUCGGUCCAUAUCCGGUGUAGGCGUUAGAAUAUUGAGAGGAGCCUUCUUUAGUACGAGAGGACCGAGAAGGACAUACCUCUGGUGUACCAGUUAUCGUGCCAACGGUAAACGCUGGGUAGCUAUGUAUGGAGUGGAUAACCGCUGAAAGCAUCUAAGUAGGAAGCCCACCUCAAGAUAAGUAUUCUCAU